Bos taurus (domestic cattle) is the source of this 58-nucleotide non-coding RNA. The record is from Rfam. NCBI's taxonomy places the organism in Eukaryota, Metazoa, Chordata, Mammalia, Artiodactyla, Bovidae.
UGGCUCAGAUGGGUAAAGUGUCUGCCUGCAAUGCAGGAGACCCAGGUUCGAUCCCUGG